RNAcentral lists this small RNA (107 nucleotides) under Marmota monax (woodchuck). The record is from RNAcentral. Lineage: Eukaryota; Metazoa; Chordata; Mammalia; Rodentia; Sciuridae.
UCUGGGUGUGGUGGUGCUCACCUGUAAUCCCAGCAGCUCUGGAGGCUGAAGCAGGAGGAUUGCAAUUUCAAAGCCAACCUCAGCAAUUUAGUGAGACCCUGUUUGUA